UCCUGUCCUUAGUUUCUGAACACUAUGGCAUAUAGAGACUGCCAAUUGUGUGCGAGGCUGUCUGACCACUGUUAUACAUUUUGUAGCCAUCACUUCUGCGAAUCAUGUCUUCGGGCCAUCCAUAGAAACGGGAAAUGCCCCAUCUGCGGGUUGAGUGCAAAAUCUUCAGGAAAGGAUACAGUUGAUGAGAUCCUGAAGGGGCUGGGAUAUGGACUAGCCG
Cherax quadricarinatus is the source of this 220-nucleotide non-coding RNA. The record is from RefSeq and is a predicted model, not a curated record. NCBI's taxonomy places the organism in Eukaryota, Metazoa, Arthropoda, Malacostraca, Decapoda, Parastacidae.